RNAcentral lists this ribosomal RNA (450 nucleotides) under Aggregatibacter sp. oral taxon 513. Its description in RNAcentral is "bacterial SSU rRNA". It matches the Rfam family "Bacterial small subunit ribosomal RNA", at positions 30 to 476 of the family's 1533-position model. Lineage: Bacteria; Pseudomonadati; Pseudomonadota; Gammaproteobacteria; Pasteurellales; Pasteurellaceae. The record is from RNAcentral.
AUUGAACGCUGGCGGCAGGCUUAACACAUGCAAGUCGAACGGUAACAGGAGAAAGCUUGCUUUCUUGCUGACGAGUGGCGGACGGGUGAGUAAUGCUUGGGAAUCCGGCUUAUGGAGGGGGAUAACGACGGGAAACUGUCGCUAAUACCGCGUAGAGUCGAGAGACGAAAGUGCGGGACCGCAAGGCCGCAUGCCAUAGGAUGAGCCCAAGUGGGAUUAGGUAGUUGGUGGGGUAAAGGCCUACCAAGCCGACGAUCUCUAGCUGGUCUGAGAGGAUGACCAGCCACACCGGGACUGAGACACGGCCCGGACUCCUACGGGAGGCAGCAGUGGGGAAUAUUGCGCAAUGGGGGCAACCCUGACGCAGCCAUGCCGCGUGAAUGAAGAAGGCCUUCGGGUUGUAAAGUUCUUUCGGUAUUGAGGAAGGUUGUUGUGUAAUAGCACGACAAA